Molecule: small RNA, 162 nt
Filed under: Gopherus agassizii (Agassiz's desert tortoise)
Lineage: Eukaryota; Metazoa; Chordata; Testudines; Testudinidae
Description: TUC338 (ENSGAGG00000000451.1)
Source: RNAcentral
UGCUCUUGAGACUGGAGUCUUCUGUUUAUCCACCUGACAAGGACAGCAGUGACAGAGCAGGCUUCCCCCGCCCAUGCAUUUGCCAGUGUGCACCAGGCAUGCCCAGCAGGGACCGUCUGUAAGGUUGAGAGAGGAGUUUGGUCUCUAGGGCCCAUCUCUACU